This 144-nucleotide small nuclear RNA is filed under the name Erinaceus europaeus (western European hedgehog). Its description in RNAcentral is "U1 spliceosomal RNA (ENSEEUG00000020059.1)". It matches the Rfam family "U1 spliceosomal RNA", at positions 22 to 166 of the family's 166-position model. Rfam says of the family: U1 is a small nuclear RNA (snRNA) component of the spliceosome (involved in pre-mRNA splicing). Its 5' end forms complementary base pairs with the 5' splice junction, thus defining the 5' donor site of an intron. Lineage: Eukaryota; Metazoa; Chordata; Mammalia; Eulipotyphla; Erinaceidae. The record is from RNAcentral.
AGCCUCAACAGUAGUAAAGAAGUAAGUCCCACUGAGGCUUAGUCAUUGCACUCCGGAUGUGCUGACCCCUGUGAUUUCCCCAAAUGUGGGAAACUUGACUGCAUAAUUUGUGGUAGUGGGAGACUGUGUUCGCACUCUCCCCUA